This 73-nucleotide transfer RNA is filed under the name Bacteroidales bacterium. RNAcentral's name for it is "tRNA-Arg". It matches the Rfam family "tRNA". Rfam says of the family: Transfer RNA (tRNA) molecules are approximately 80 nucleotides in length. Lineage: Bacteria; Pseudomonadati; Bacteroidota; Bacteroidia; Bacteroidales. The record is from RNAcentral.
GGUCCCGUAGUUUAACUGGAUAAAACUCAAGAUUCCGGUUCUUGCGCUGGGGGUUCGAGUCCUCCCGGGAUCA